AGCUCUUGUUAAGUUCACUUCAAAUAGCAUUGAAUUUUUUUGUGAACCUGCCUUCAUCAUGCUGGUUAAGGAAGUUAUGUUAUGGAUCUAAGCUUUGUAGGACUAUGUGUUACAAGAUACCUUUGAAAGAUCUUCUUCACUACAUGGAACCCCAGAGUUCAUUAAUGUUGGAGAUUUUGGGAAAUUAAUUUCUCAGUAAUGUGUCUUAAGUUACAAAAUAUGAAGUGUCUUACUUGUGGAACAUUGGUAGACUAUGA
Molecule: long non-coding RNA, 257 nt
Filed under: Amphimedon queenslandica
Lineage: Eukaryota; Metazoa; Porifera; Demospongiae; Haplosclerida; Niphatidae
Description: uncharacterized LOC109592919
Source: RNAcentral